GGUUAAGUGACUAAGCGUAGACGGUGGAUGCCUUGGCAGUCAGAGGCGAUGAAGGACGUAUUAACUUGCGAUAAGCCCAGAUAAGGCAGUAAAAGCCAUUUGAGUCUGGGAUUUCCGAAUGGGGAAACCCACCUGCAUAAGCAGGUAUCUUAGCGUGAAUACAUAGCGCUAAGAGGCGAACUCGGGGAACUGAAACAUCUAAGUACCCGAAGGAAAAGAAAUCAAUUGAGAUUCCGGCAGUAGCGGCGAGCGAACCCGGAGCAGCCCUUAAGCGGCUUAGGCGUUAGGUGAACAGGUUGGAAAACCUGGCAAUAAAGGGUGAUAGCCCCGUAACCGACAGCGCCUUAGUCGUGAAAUCGAGUAGGACGGGACACGUGAUAUCUUGUCUGAACAUGGGGGGACCAUCCUCCAAGGCUAAAUACUCCUGACUGACCGAUAGUGAACCAGUACCGUGAGGGAAAGGCGAAAAGAACCCCUGUGAGGGGAGUGAAAUAGAACCUGAAACCGUCUACGUACAAGCAGUGGGAGCCUCCUUGUGGGGUGACCGCGUACCUUUUGUAUAAUGGGUCAGCGACUUAAUGUUAGUAGCAAGGUUAACCGCAUAGGGGAGCCGUAGGGAAACCGAGUCUUAACUGGGCGUCCAGUUGCUAGCAUUAGACCCGAAACCGAGUGAUCUAGCCAUGGGCAGGUUGAAGGUUGAGUAACAUCAACUGGAGGACCGAACUCACUAACGUUGAAAAGUUAGGAGAUGACCUGUGGCUAGGGGUGAAAGGCCAAUCAAACUCGGAGAUAGCUGGUUCUCCCCGAAAGCUAUUUAGGUAGCGCCUCGGACGAAUACUACUGGGGGUAGAGCACUGUUAAGGCUAGGGGGUCAUCCCGACUUACCAACCCUUUGCAAACUCCGAAUACCAGUAAGUACUAUCCGGGAGACACACGGCGGGUGCUAACGUCCGUCGUGGAGAGGGAAACAACCCAGACCGCCAGCUAAGGUCCCAAAGUUAUCGCUAAGUGGGAAACGAUGUGGGAAGGCUCAGACAGCCAGGAUGUUGGCUUAGAAGCAGCCAUCAUUUAAAGAAAGCGUAAUAGCUCACUGGUCGAGUCGGCCUGCGCGGAAGAUGUAACGGGGCUAAGCGAUACACCGAAGCUGCGGCAAUGUCCUUAUGGAUAUUGGGUAGGGGAGCGUUGUGUAAGCUGUUGAAGGUGUGCUGAGAGGCAUGCUGGAGGUAUCACAAGUGCGAAUGCUGACAUGAGUAACGAUAAAGGGGGUGAAAAACCUCCUCGCCGGAAGACCAAGGGUUCCUGUCCAACGUUAAUCGGGGCAGGGUAAGUCGGCCCCUAAGGCGAGGCCGAAAGGCGUAGUCGAUGGGAAACGGGUUAAUAUUCCCGUACUGCUACUUACUGCGAUGGGGGGACGGAGAAGGCUAGGUGGGCCUGGCGAUGGUAGUCCAGGUUCAAGUGCGUAGGCUGAUUUCUUAGGCAAAUCCGGGAAAUCAAGGCCGAGACACGAUGUCGAGCCACCAAGGUGGUGAAGUCAUUGAUGCCAUGCUUCCGGGAAAAGCCUCUAAGCUUCAGGUAAGUAGCAACCGUACUCCAAACCGACACAGGUGGUCGGGUAGAGAAUACCAAGGCGCUUGAGAGAACUCGGGUGAAGGAACUAGGCAAAAUGGUACCGUAACUUCGGGAGAAGGUACGCUGCCCGCGGUGAAGUCCCUUGCGGAUGGAGCUAUGGGCAGUCGCAGAUACCAGGUGGCUGCAACUGUUUAUUAAAAACACAGCACUGUGCAAAAUCGAAAGAUGACGUAUACGGUGUGACGCCUGCCCGGUGCCGGAAGGUUAAUUGAUGUGGUUAUCGCAAGAGAAGCCAUUGAUCGAAGCCCCGGUAAACGGCGGCCGUAACUAUAACGGUCCUAAGGUAGCGAAAUUCCUUGUCGGGUAAGUUCCGACCUGCACGAAUGGCGUAAUGAUGGCCACGCUGUCUCCACCCGAGACUCAGUGAAAUUGAAAUCGCAGUGAAGAUGCUGUGUACCCGCGGCUAGACGGAAAGACCCCGUGAACCUUUACUACAGCUUGGCACUGAACAUUGAGCCUACAUGUGUAGGAUAGGUGGGAGGCUUUGAAGCGGCGACGCCAGUUGCUGUGGAGCCAUCCUUGAAAUACCACCCUUGUAUGUUUGAUGUUCUAACUUAGCCCCGUUAUCCGGGGUGAGGACAGUGCCUGGUGGGUAGUUUGACUGGGGCGGUCUCCUCCCAAAGAGUAACGGAGGAGCACGAAGGUGGGCUAAUCACGGUCGGACAUCGUGAGGUUAGUGCAAUGGCAUAAGCCCGCUUAACUGCGAGAGUGACGGCUCGAGCAGGUACGAAAGUAGGUCAUAGUGAUCCGGUGGUUCUGAAUGGAAGGGCCAUCGCUCAACGGAUAAAAGGUACUCCGGGGAUAACAGGCUGAUACCGCCCAAGAGUUCAUAUCGACGGCGGUGUUUGGCACCUCGAUGUCGGCUCAUCACAUCCUGGGGCUGAAGUCGGUCCCAAGGGUAUGGCUGUUCGCCAUUUAAAGUGGUACGCGAGCUGGGUUUAGAACGUCGUGAGACAGUUCGGUCCCUAUCUGCCGUGGGCGUUGGAUGAUUGAGGGGAGCUGCUCCUAGUACGAGAGGACCGGAGUGGACGAACCGCUGGUGUUCGGGUUGUGUCGCCAGACGCAUUGCCCGGUAGCUAAGUUCGGCACAGAUAAGCGCUGAAAGCAUCUAAGCGCGAAGCUGGCCCCGAGAUGAGUCAUCCCUAGAGCUUCGAGCUCUCUAAAGGGUUGUCGUAGACGACGACGUUGAUAGGCAGGGUGUGUAAGCGCUGUGAGGCGUUGAGCUAACCUGUACUAAUUGCCCGUGAGGCUUAACCAU
Molecule: ribosomal RNA, 2887 nt
Filed under: Salinivibrio proteolyticus
Lineage: Bacteria; Pseudomonadati; Pseudomonadota; Gammaproteobacteria; Vibrionales; Vibrionaceae
Description: 23S ribosomal RNA
Rfam family: Bacterial large subunit ribosomal RNA
Source: RNAcentral